This 497-nucleotide ribosomal RNA is filed under the name uncultured bacterium. Its description in RNAcentral is "partial 16S ribosomal RNA". It matches the Rfam family "Bacterial small subunit ribosomal RNA", at positions 28 to 507 of the family's 1533-position model. The record is from RNAcentral.
GAUGAACGCUGGCGGCGUGCCUAAUACAUGCAAGUCGAGCGAACGGACGAGAAGCUUGCUUCUCUGAUGUUAGCGGCGGACGGGUGAGUAACACGUGGAUAACCUACCUAUAAGACUGGGAUAACUUCGGGAAACCGGAGCUAAUACCGGAUAAUAUUUUGAACCGCAUGGUUCAAAAGUGAAAGACGGUCUUGCUGUCACUUAUAGAUGGAUCCGCGCUGCAUUAGCUAGUUGGUAAGGUAACGGCUUACCAAGGCAACGAUGCAUAGCCGACCUGAGAGGGUGAUCGGCCACACUGGAACUGAGACACGGUCCAGACCCCUACGGGAGGCAGCAGUAGGGAAUCUUCCGCAAUGGGCGAAAGCCUGACGGAGCAACGCCGCGUGAGUGAUGAAGGUCUUCGGAUCGUAAAAUUCUGUUAUUAGGGAAGAACAUAUGUGUAAGUAACUGUGCACAUCUUGACGGUACCUAAUCAGAAAGCCACGGCUAACUACGUG